GUGCACGCUGGCGGCAGGCCUAAUACAUGCAAGUCGAACGGCAGCACAGUGGAGCUUGCUCCAUGGGUGGCGAGUGGCGGACGGGUGAGGAAUACAUGGGAAUCUGCCCAGUCGUGGGGGAUAACGUAGGGAAACUUACGCUAAUACCGCAUGCGCCCUUCGGGGGAAAGCCGGGGACCUUCGGGCCUGGCGCGAUUGGAUGAGCCCAUGUUCGAUUAGCUAGUUGGCGGGGUAAAGGCCCACCAAGGCGACGAUCGAUAGCUGGUCUGAGAGGAUGAUCAGCCACACUGGGACUGAGACACGGCCCAGACUCCUACGGGAGGCAGCAGUAGGGAAUAUUGGACAAUGGGCGCAAGCCUGAUCCAGCCAUGCCGCGUGAGUGAAGAAGGCCCUCGGGUUGUAAAGCUCUUUUGUCCGGGAAGAAAAGCAUCGGGCUAAUACCUCGGUGUUCUGACGGUACCGGAAGAAUAAGCACCGGCUAACUUCGUG
Molecule: ribosomal RNA, 489 nt
Filed under: uncultured bacterium
Lineage: Bacteria
Description: partial 16S ribosomal RNA
Rfam family: Bacterial small subunit ribosomal RNA
Source: RNAcentral